ACGUCAUUGAUAUCUGUGUAAAACACAUGAGUACACCACAGCGAACAAAAUUGCUGGUUUGUAAAACCUUGGAAGAGGCUUUAAGGAAAAUCCAGGAGCUGGAAAUGCAAGAUAAUUUGUGCCUGACUCUAGUACGAAGAAUUUUGGGAAGACGAUUUGGCCUAAAAAGACCUGUAGCAGUUAACAAGCUAUUAGAUGCACAAUAGCACAAAAUGACCACCACCACUAUCACCCUAAAGUGUGUGCUUGGUGUCUGUCUACACGUGCUUGCUUCUGGAAUGUUGAAGAACAAACUGUGUUGAAACGCCAACUGUUGGUCAUGGACCUUUGCCGCCCUUCAUCCAGAGCCUUCCACAGAGAUGGCAGAUAUAUCGCUGCCUGGACCAACAGUUGACCAUGCCGUUGAGUCCAUGAAAACAUCUACAGAAUUACAUCUGCGGCCGUGGCUAUUAAUGGAUACAUUCUGCACCACUUCCAUGUGCUGUCAGUUUGAAACGUCUCUACUCUGACAGAAGGAAGGGAAUGAAUACCCAGGAUUGUUCCUCAGGAAAAUCUCUUCAACAAGCUGUUGUCAGUUUGCAUGCUCUUUGGAUGGAAUUACCCUACCUUGGCUUGCAGAGAAUCUGUGAUAUGAAAGACCUCUUUUGUGCUGCAUUGUGUCAUUGAUUUAUUGUAUUUUAUAUGUAUUAUGCCACUAUUGUAAAAACAAAUGGGCAUAUGUUUUAGCAUAUGUUUUCAAACAGACACAUUUAUAUUUCAAACAGACACAUUUAUAUUUUUGAAUAAUUUGAAAAUACAUUUUGUAGGUUGACUUCACACCAUGAAACAUUAAUGGUAGGUUAUAUUUGACCAGAACAUGACAAGUAUUGUUUUCGGAGUUUUUUGGUCGAAGGUGAAGGUAAUGGCUAACAGUGGUUAUUCUGCACAAUGACCCUUGAUUUCUUUGACCUAGGACCAUUAAUAUUUAGUGAUUGAUAUAUCAGUCCAACUCCUAUGUGAAAGGGACAUGAUGAAAUUGAGCAAGAGCUUAUUAGCAUUGCAAAUUAUUAUUUGUUCAUUUUUAGCUCGACUAUUCGAAGAAUAGGUGAGCUAUACUAUCAUUAACAAUUCUGCGUUAAAGUUUUCAUUUUAUGUAAUAAAAUCAAGAGUUAAUAUCCAAUGGUAAUCAAACUUGGUCAGACUAUUUGUCGGCAUGUUAUCUUGAAGAUGUAUGAAUAUGGGUCAUCCCUGGUCAAAUUCUAGGUCACUAGGUCACAUCUUAGAGAAAAUAUUUCCAUGUCACAAAUUCAACAUUUUUUUCAUAUCUUUAUGAAACUUGGUCAGAAUAUUUGUCUGCAUACUAUCUUGAAAGUUUUUUAAUAUGGGUCAUCCCGGGUCAAAUUCUAGGUCACUAGGUCAAAUCUUAGGAAAAUCAUUCUACAUCAUAAAUUGAACAAUUUUUGUCAAAUCUUUAUGAAACUUGGUCAGAAUAUUUGUCUGCAUAAUAUCUUAAAAGUUCUAUAAUAUGGGUCAUCCCCGGUCAAAACCUAGGUCACAAGGUCAAAUUUUAGAAGAAAGAAUUCCACAGUCAUAAAAAUUCAUUAAUUUUAGUCAAAUCUUUUUUAAACAUGGUCAUAACAUAAAUUCAAUUGGUAUUUUAUAAACACACAUCCCAAUCAUGAAUUUCAGAUCUAACCAUAUUUUUCAAAAAUUUAAAUUUUAAUUAACUUUAAAAAUAUUUGUGUACAUGAAAUCUUAGAUGAUAAAGUGUGUCAUCUAGGGUCAAAAACUAGGUCUCUGGGACAGAUCUUAUUGGAAAAGCUGAUGUAUUUAUAAAAUGUUCGUUUUUCCUCACACAAAUGGAAUAGUUUCUGUUGAUCAGGUUAUUUGUAUGAAUGAUAUCUCCGAUAAAUAUAAAUAUGGGUCUUUUUGGUUAAAAUACUAGGUCAUUAGCUCAAAUCCUAGGUUUGCAAAAUUGCAUAAAAAAUCAAGCUUUAUGCGGCGUUGCCGCGUUGGCGUCUUGUUAUUUUUUUAUUUUGACAGGCACAUUUUUAUAAUCUUAACCAAAUCAAACUUUGUUUUGUCACAUUGUGAUUCUUAUUCACUUUUUUAUUUGAUUGUUUUAUUGCUUUUUACAGGCACAUAUCACACUAUUAUUGUAUUUACGUCCAAUUCCAAGAGGCGUAGUAGAGCGCACUGUUUUACGACAGCUCUUGUUAACCUGUAAAGUGAAACCUGGUUAUAAAAAUGACAUGACUGUGUCAUUGUGUUGGCAGGCCAGGAGGAGGGCAGCAUCAAAUACAUCUACAAACUUAGUAUACAAAAUAUUAUAAAAUUGCUUUCGGGGCCCAUAGGAUCAAGGUCACUAAAACAAAAAAAUAUUGAAACUUAAUCGCACAACAAAGGCUUAAUUAAUUAGGUUUGUCUGUCAAUCAUUGAAAACUUGUUUUUUGUUUUGCAUUGCAGCAUUUCAUGCUUCAUUUUUAUUUUGUCUCUUUAUUGCAUUUUACCUUUAUCAUUAUUGUAUUCAUUUCUAAGACAAAGCAGCAUAUAGUUGAGGGCACUGCCCCAUGAUAGCUCUUGUAUAUCCUAAAAAGAAUACAAUAGUGAUAUACCCUGAUAUAGGUAGUUUUGGUACAUUAUCACGGUUUUAAUUUUAGCUUUACUGGCCAAAGAUCAGAAUAUCUGAUGUGAUGGUAAUGUGUACGUAGUAUGUGCUUCCUAGCGCCUGUAAACAAUUGCUUGUGAACACCAUACAGUCUUUAGUUAUGAUUGUAUCUCAAUAAAACAGUAUUUAGAUAUCCAAUAGAGCUCGGUUCCUUUCGAAAACCAGUCAGAUCUGCCCAUGCAUGCCUAGAUUAUGGGCCUUGAACGUCUGUGCGACUGUAAACAAUUGCUUGUGAACAUGGUACAGUCUUCAGUUUUAAUUGUAUAUAGAUGAAACUUGUACAGUAUUAAGAUAUCAAUUAGAGCUUGGUUCCUUUCAAAAACCAGAUCUGCCCAUGCAUACCUAGAUUAUGGGCCUCAAAAGUAAAAAAAAAUGCUAUUUUUAGCCAAGUCUACAUGAGCGAAGUCUAUUUUUAGACAAGUUUACAUGUAAAGUCACAAAUUCAUGUGAAAAAUUGUUCAAAUUAGGCCCCUGGGGUCAUUAUUGGCCACGCCACUGGGUUCACCGGUUUGGUAUACUAAAUUGGGAAAUGUUUGAAAAUCUUUAUGUCUGAAACAACUAUGCAGACCCUUGUUAUUUUGAAUAAGGAUUAUUUUAUUGGUCUGCUACCAUGGUUGUUCAAAUUAUGCCCCUAGGGUCAAAACUGGCACUGCCCCCAGGGGUCACAAGUUUUUUAAGAAAUAUUUUCAAAAUCUUCUUGUUUCAAACCACAAGGCUCAUAUCUUUGAUAUUUGUUGUAGAGCAUUAUAAGUAGACCGUCUAGCAAAACAGUUGAAAUUAUGUGCCCUGGGCCGGGGCCACCAUCCAUUUUGUCCUUUUAAAGCUACAAAAAUGAAAUUUUGACCAAUAGUACAGUUUUGUAGCAAAUUUUAUUCUCCUCAGAUGACCUUUACUUGGCACAUAUUAGAAUACUAGUAGUUCAUGCAACUAAUCUGCUUACAACACUUUCUGUUCUCACAAAACGUGAACAAUAUGUUUGUUGGCUAUUACUCAUACAUACAUGCUCUGGAUCAAAAAUAACCACAUGAGCCAUGCCACUAGAGCAUAUGCACUCAUGGGCCUCUUGUUUUUUUUAGAAAAAAAAGCAUACUGACCAACCCUAUUUAUUUUAGAAGUUAGCUGAAACUAAGAACUUUUUUUACCUUACUUUUAUAUUAGAUUGUGUAUUGCUAUGAUUUUUGCUUAAAGCUCCAUUUAAGGUAACUGUUCAUCUCAAAUGUAACAGCUUUUGCCUUCAAACUUAUAAAAUUUCAUUGAACCAGUGGGUUCAUCAUGAUGCACAUCUGUAAAUGUUUCUCCCUAAUAUGGGCUUUUAUGUAUGCAAACAGAACAUUGAACAAUUGGCUUUCCAAGUAAAGUAAACCCUGUCCAGAACAUUUGUCAAAUUGCUGUGUCAGCACUUGUUUGAAUGGAUUUAUUUUAUUUUCAUAUUAUGAUUUCAAAUAAAGUAUUUAAAAAUGUU
Mya arenaria is the source of this 4109-nucleotide long non-coding RNA. RefSeq lists it as uncharacterized. The record is from RefSeq and is a predicted model, not a curated record. The transcript has 4 exons. Lineage: Eukaryota; Metazoa; Mollusca; Bivalvia; Myida; Myidae.